Molecule: vault RNA, 100 nt
Filed under: Sinocyclocheilus grahami
Lineage: Eukaryota; Metazoa; Chordata; Actinopteri; Cypriniformes; Cyprinidae
Description: Vault RNA (ENSSGRG00000049375.1)
Rfam family: Vault RNA
About the family: This family of RNAs are found as part of the enigmatic vault ribonucleoprotein complex. The complex consists of a major vault protein (MVP), two minor vault proteins (VPARP and TEP1), and several small untranslated RNA molecules.
Source: Rfam by way of RNAcentral
GCGUUGGUUUGGCUCAGCGGUUACUUCUGAUUGACCAGAUCACCGUCUCAUGUCCGUCGGGGAACCGGAGAUCGUACCUCGCGCGCUGUCCAACGUUUAU